AUGGUAGAGGUCGAGUCCG
RNAcentral lists this microRNA (19 nucleotides) under Ornithorhynchus anatinus (platypus). RNAcentral describes it as "oan-miR-1367-5p". The record is from miRBase by way of RNAcentral. Lineage: Eukaryota; Metazoa; Chordata; Mammalia; Monotremata; Ornithorhynchidae.